GCAGCACUGUGCCAUGCGAACUUUUGUAUGAACCUCGCGAUUGGUUAUAUACCUAUUUCCGAGUGGAUUCGUCGUGAUGAACUUCCCUCUUUUUAAUCUCGUUCUUCAACAUCAGAAGGAUUGGGAAGGGGGAGAGGGGGAAGGAUUCAUCGUAUGUGCCUAAUAGAGACGAAUUGGCAAACUAAGGAAAUGCCCCCUCAUUCGUCUUGGGUAGGUCGAUGACCAAUAACACGCGGAGGUGCCUUAAGGGUUAGGGAUUUCUAGCCAACGCUAUCCCGGCA
This 281-nucleotide small RNA is filed under the name Histoplasma capsulatum. RNAcentral's name for it is "hypothetical RNA". RNAcentral also lists the same sequence under 1 other name. The record is from RNAcentral. Lineage: Eukaryota; Fungi; Ascomycota; Eurotiomycetes; Onygenales; Ajellomycetaceae.